CCUUAGAGUUUGAUCCUGGCUCAAGAUGAACGCUGGCGGCGCGCCUAACACAUGCAAGUCGAACGGCACCCCUCUCCGGAGGGAAGCGAGUGGCGAACGGCUGAGUAACACGUGGAGAACCUGCCCCCUCCCCCGGGAUAGCCGCCCGAAAGGACGGGUAAUACCGGAUACCCCGGGGCGCCGCAUGGCACCCCGGCUAAAGCCCCGACGGGAGGGGAUGGCUCCGCGGCCCAUCAGGUAGACGGCGGGGUGACGGCCCACCGUGCCGACAACGGGUAGCCGGGUUGAGAGACCGACCGGCCAGAUUGGGACUGAGACACGGCCCACACUCCUACGGGAGGCAGCAGUGGGGAAUCUUGCGCAGUGGGGGGAACCCUGACGCAGCGACGCCGCGUGCGGGACGGAGGCCUUCGGGUCGUAAACCGCUUUCAGCAGGGAAGAGUCAAGACUGUACCUGCAGAAGAAGCCCCGGCUAACUACGUGCCAGCAGCCGCGGUAAUACGUAGGGGGCGAGCGUUAUCCGGAUUCAUUGGGCGUAAAGCGCGCGUAGGCGGCCCGGCAGGCCGGGGGUCGAAGCGGGGGGCUCAACCCCCCGAAGCCCCCGGAACAUCCGCGGCUUGGGUCCGGUAGGGGAGGGUGGAACACCCGGUGUAGCGGUGGAAUGCGCAGAUAUCGGGUGGAACACCGGUCGUGAAGGCGGCCCUCUGGGCCGAGACAGACGCUGAGGCGCGAAAGCUGGGGGAGCGAACAGGAUUAGAUACCCUGGUAGUCCCAGCCGUAAACG
This 784-nucleotide ribosomal RNA is filed under the name uncultured bacterium. RNAcentral's name for it is "bacterial SSU rRNA". It matches the Rfam family "Bacterial small subunit ribosomal RNA", at positions 1 to 808 of the family's 1533-position model. The record is from RNAcentral.